AUUGAACGCUGGCGGCAGGCCUAACACAUGCAAGUCGAACGAGUGGCGGACGGGUGAGUAAUGUCUGGGAAACUGCCUGAUGGAGGGGGAUAACUACUGGAAACGGUAGCUAAUACCGCAUACCAUCGGAUGUGCCCCGAUGGGAUUAGCUAGUAGGUGGGGUAAAGGCUCACCUAGGCGACGAGCCCUAGCGGGUCUGAGAGGAUGACCAGCCCCACUGGAACUGAGACACGGGCCAGAAUCCUACGGGAGGCAGCAGUGGGGAAUAUUGCCCAAUGGGCGCAAGCCUGAUGCAGCCAUGCCGCGUGUGUGAAGAAGGCCUUCGGGUUGUAAAGCACUUUCAGCGAGGAGGCGUUACUCGCAGAAGAAGCACCGGCUAACUCCGUGCCAGCAGCCGCGGUAAUAC
RNAcentral lists this ribosomal RNA (406 nucleotides) under uncultured bacterium. Its description in RNAcentral is "partial 16S ribosomal RNA". It matches the Rfam family "Bacterial small subunit ribosomal RNA", at positions 30 to 526 of the family's 1533-position model. The record is from RNAcentral.